Molecule: ribosomal RNA, 626 nt
Filed under: uncultured Roseomonas sp.
Lineage: Bacteria; Pseudomonadati; Pseudomonadota; Alphaproteobacteria; Acetobacterales; Roseomonadaceae
Description: bacterial SSU rRNA
Rfam family: Bacterial small subunit ribosomal RNA
Source: RNAcentral
AGUCGCACGCCCAGCAAUGGGAGUGGCGGACGGGUGAGUAACGCGUAGGAAUGUAUCCAGAGGUGGGGGACAACCCUGGGAAACUGGGGCUAAUACCGCAUAUGUCCUGAGGGACAAAGCCGUGAGGCGCCUUUGGAGCAGCCUGCGUCCGAUUAGGUAGUUGGUGGGGUAAUGGCCUACCAAGCCUGCGAUCGGUAGCUGGUCUGAGAGGACGACCAGCCACACUGGGACUGAGACACGGCCCAGACUCCUACGGGAGGCAGCAGUGGGGAAUAUUGGACAAUGGGCGCAAGCCUGAUCCAGCAAUGCCGCGUGGAUGAAGAAGGUCUUCGGAUUGUAAAGUCCUUUCGACGGGGACGAUGAUGACGGUACCCGUAGAAGAAGCCCCGGCUAACUUCGUGCCAGCAGCCGCGGUAAUACGAAGGGGGCUAGCGUUGCUCGGAAUUACUGGGCGUAAAGGGCGCGUAGGCGGCCCGACAAGUCAGGCGUGAAAUUCCUGGGCUCAACCUGGGGGCUGCGCUUGAGACUGUUGGGCUAGAGGCCGAGAGAGGGUGGUGGAAUUCCCAGUGUAGAGGUGAAAUUCGUAGAUAUUGGGAAGAACACCGGUGGCGAAGGCGGCCACCUGG